Paramuricea clavata is the source of this 1013-nucleotide non-coding RNA. Lineage: Eukaryota; Metazoa; Cnidaria; Anthozoa; Malacalcyonacea; Plexauridae. The record is from the annotation of a GenBank genome assembly.
UCAAUAAUAAAGUAGCUGAAAUAUCCUCAAAGAGUUGAUGACGUUAUAAUAUAGCGCGAAUAUAUGCAAUACGCAUAGCCACUUUUGAUAACUCACUACCCCAACAAAAAUAAGAGCGCUAAUCAGUAAUACCUCCCACACGAUCCAUCCUACACAACUUUGAAGCAAAGUCAUUAGACAGCGAUUACAAGAACUACGAUAAGAAAGAUUACGAAAACGCCAACACGGACACGUUCAAAAAUAUUACGUACAGCAAUUCAACUAAUUUAUACCCCAACAGAAAUAGUGCAGCGUGAUACAAGACUUCGAAUCAUUAAUACUCCAGCGAUGAUAUGUCUCCUUGGCCUUGAACAGUUCUACGCAAAGACACCAAAUUGUCCAAAAUCAACAGGCCGCGUUUAAAUUUAGACGUCUUGUAGUGUAUACGUCCAGGAAUAGCCUUCGCAACACAAGAGAUCAUUUCCAAAUGUACAGAAUUAGAAAUUAGGCUGAAUACAGAACACUCACUUACCCAAUAAAAGAAUUGCGAAUCACAUUCGUCCGAGCGAAUAGCCCAGGUACACAAGAGUAAACCGGGCUACAGUCAAUAUAAAACCUAAAGUACAUAGCCACAAAUAAAUACGGAAAUCAUAGAACGAGACACAGAUAUCUCACCAACCAAUAUACAACCUAUAAACUAUACACCAUUAACUAAAGCGCUAAUGCGCCCCUGUGAAACUCUUUGUGUUAUAUCGCCGUAUAGACAAAACCAAAGACCAACAGCUCAGACUAGAAAUUAGAAUGCAAAUCGCUUUGCAAACAUCUGCUGUCACAACAAUUUCACGGGUAUGCUCAAUCGAGCGCUUGUUGACGACAUUCUAUACGCCAUCUACGUCACCCGCGGCGCUCUGACGCAACACUAGUCCCCAUACCUCGACGUCUUUCCGAAAGCAUUUGGCACAGUCAUGUGCAUCGCAUACGUCACUGUAUCACGUCUCGGAGCUGGUAAAUGUAAGCGAAAACGAAAUUUAUGC